This is a long non-coding RNA of Hippocampus zosterae (dwarf seahorse), 1443 nucleotides long. RefSeq lists it as uncharacterized. Lineage: Eukaryota; Metazoa; Chordata; Actinopteri; Syngnathiformes; Syngnathidae. The transcript has 7 exons. The record is from RefSeq and is a predicted model, not a curated record.
CUUUAUUUGUGUGUGUUUGGUUGUGACUUUGUUAGCAGAGGUGCUCCGGAUCGACUGCGGUGGUGGUCCCGGUGCAUGCUGCGAUGUGACGCCGCUUCCCCCUGCUCGCGUCCGGGCCGGCUAACUCGCUAAGGACCCGAUCCAUGUCCACAUCUCCACGGUCACAGGACUCGGCUUAGUGCGGUAGCCGCGGCGCUCGGUGUGAUUUUCAUGCUUGUGGCUCAUAUUCAACCCCGGGUGUCAAAAUCGCGCCGAUGGAGGCAUAGUGACGCGCAUUGUGAGCCGCCGCCGCCGCCGCCGCCGCCUAAUCCGAACGGCGGAAAGCUGACAUAAUGAUCCUAAGCCGCCUUUGCCGCAAAUCGUUGCGGAAUUCAAAACUUAUCCUCCGCUCUGUGUUUCUAGAUGUGCACCUUGUCCCGCGCCACAAACUUUCACAAGCUGGACUCGAAGCCGUGCAUGCGAGCUGCUCCGCGUGAGGACAUUUGGGUGAGUUGCUCGACGUCAACUCAGAGAAGGGAAGUCAUUAUUUGGGAUGGAAGGAGAUGGACAUGCUAGGGAGGGGCUGUGUGUGUGGGGGGGGGGGGGUGCAGGUGGGGCUCCUCCUCGUAGUGGAAGUAAAAGGCGGUAUUUUCACGCUGGGGUUCAAGCUGCAAGCCUUCAAUACGCCUCGCCCCAAAUGAAGUCACUAGUGAAGGGCUUAGCAGAGGCGCAUAAUGCAAAGCCUCCUUACCUGACCGGCGCUCCAAUUUCCUAGCGCGCCACUCCAACGUCAAGCUGCGGGUCUUAUCUGACAUUCGUGCAGGACACCUUUUUUUUUUUGUUUUCAACCCUCGCAGGCAAUUCGGAAAUCGCUGCUAGAGCGGACAAGAGAUGUAGCCACGCACGCGCGCACGCGCGCACACGCAGGACCCUGCUUGGCCACACAGUGCGGCAGCACACACGGAGGGAGCAUACGCAUCAUCAAUACGCGCUUGUAAUGCAGCGUUGCAUUUGUGGACAAGGUGGGAAUUAUACGGCGGCCCCACAAUUAAAGGAAGAUUGUUCCUGGGUCCUCCGUGCCACAAGAGGGAGUCACCUGCUCACCGCCAGAGUCCACCUACGAGCACAGACCUGCAGGCAACACCUUUUGCUCUUCUUUCUGUUAUUCGCAAGGUGCUGAAGUCAAACUUUGAGCGAGCCUGAAAAGUAGCAGUAAACAUGAUCGGCUUCCUGCUCUCGAAAGACCCAACAGUCUAUCUCCCUGGUCAACACACCUGUCCCACGUUUUUCCUAAGAGCUGACCACUUCGGCGCCCAGCAACAAGCAGACUGCCAUCCAACUUGCAACUUUUUUCCUCUGCUUUUGUGAUUGUCUAUUCUGCAAAAGAAAUAAAGCUUGAUUACAAAAAACACUUAAACUCAUCUUCAUUUUUAAACACAUCACCACAAUCCAACAUUAACAAAA